GUACAACUUCCGGCUGUAAAGAUGGCGGCUUCCUAGAGAGUCGGCGGCUGAUUUAGAAGGAGGUUCAGGCUACGGUGAGCCGAAGCCACACAGGAGCCAUGGAAGUGCCAGAGCCCAGCAGCCCCACUGAAGAGGAGGAGGAGGAAGAGGAGCACUCGGCAGAGCCUCGGCCCCGCACUCGCUCCAAUCCUGAAGGGGCUGAGGACCGGGCAGUGGGGGCACAGGCCAGCGUGGGCAGCCGCAGCGAGGGUGAGGGUGAGGCCGCCAGUGCUGAUGAUGGGAGCCCCAACACUUCAGGAGCCGGCCCUAAGUCCUGGCAGGUGCCCCCGCCAGCCCCUGAGGUCCAAAUUCGGACACCAAGGGUCAACUGUCCAGAGAAAGUGAUUAUCUGCCUGGACCUGUCAGAGGAAAUGUCACUGCCAAAGCUGGAGUCGUUCAACGGCCAGCAGAAAACUGAGCUUCCGGUCACAGAGAACGUGCAGACGAUUCCCCCGCCAUAUGUGGUCCGCACCAUCCUUGUCUACAGCCGUCCACCCUGCCAGCCCCAGUUCUCCUUGACGGAGCCCAUGAAGGUGGGUGAGGCCUGGGAGAGGGAGGGGUGCCUGCAGCCAUGAGGAUGGUGGUUAGACACCAGGAGGGACUUCCCAACCACAGUGGCUGGGGUGCCUAGAGGUAAGUUCCCAGAGUCUGAGGCAGAAAUGGGGGAGUUAUAGUCAUGGGGCAUAGGGUGACCCAAGCCCCAGAGGCUGGUGUUCUUUACUUCCCCCGCAGAAAAUGUUCCAGUGCCCAUAUUUCUUCUUUGACGUUGUUUACAUCCACAAUGGCACCGAGGAGAAGGAGGAGGAGAUGAGCUGGAAGGUGAGAGGCUGCAGCAGGUGUGAGUGGCAGGCGGGUGUGGACAGGAUGUCUUGGAACACAGCUGCGCUGGGUCUGGGGGUCUCUACCUCCAUUUGAUACCCCUGGAACCCUGGCCGGGGUAGGUCAUGGCAUUGGUCAUUGAACAGCCGUUUCCCAGUUGUCUGCUGUGACUGAUGGGGUGGCAGCCAUUGGGACAAUGGUCCAGGCAACAUGUUGCGUCCUGCCUCCCCCAUCUCCAAUGUUCCCUGCGUUCCUUUCUUUCCUGCUUGCUUUCUUGCUUUAUUUUCUUUCUUUCUUUUUUUUUUUGAGACAGAGUCUCCCUCUGUCUCCCAGGCUGGAGUGCAGUGGCGUGAUCUCGGCUCACUGCAACCUCUGCCUCCCGGGUUCAAGCAAUUCUCCUGCGUCAGCCUCCCCAGUAGCUGGGAUUACAGGUACCUGCCAUCAUACCAGGUUAAUUUUUGUAUUUUUAGUAGAGACGGGGUUUCACCAUGUUGGCCAGGCUGGUCUUGAACUCCUGACCUCAGGUGAUCUGCCUGCCUCAGCCUCCCAAAGCGCUGGGAUUACAGGUGUGAGCCACCACGACCAGCUCCCUCUUCCCUUUCUUCCUGCC
This 1468-nucleotide small RNA is filed under the name Pongo abelii (Sumatran orangutan). RNAcentral describes it as "retained intron". Lineage: Eukaryota; Metazoa; Chordata; Mammalia; Primates; Hominidae. The record is from RNAcentral.